This 241-nucleotide long non-coding RNA is filed under the name Struthio camelus australis. RNAcentral describes it as "lncRNA (ENSSCUG00000015267.1)". Lineage: Eukaryota; Metazoa; Chordata; Aves; Struthioniformes; Struthionidae. The record is from RNAcentral.
AGGAAGCCCAUGAUAUGAAGUGCUGGCGGCUGUGAGCGAUACGACACAGUAGGAAGGACUGUCUUUUUCCAGAUCAGGAAGAAAGAACCACUGUGAAAAAUGGGCUACCUUUCAACAUAGCAAUGAGGAGCAGAAAAAAGAAAACAAGCUAGCAGGGGGGAUAAACACCUUCAGCAAUAAGACGUCUGACGGUGAGUGUCUAUGCAGUUAAUGAAAAAACUGUGACUUUCCUGUGGCUCAU